AAGGACCAGUUGUUAGAACAUUACCAUAUGAGGUAGUCCCACUCCAUUAAAGCAAUAAAGUGAAACAACUCAUCUACUUUAGUAAAAAGUGGAAAGAUGAGCUGGUGGAAUAUAUUCUGCAUGUUCUCUUAUUUUUCUUCUUGUUCUAUCAUUCAUGUCUACAAAUAGAUAUCAAGAAAGCAUUGCAAUGUGUGUGGAAAAAGCAAGAGAGAAAGAGUGGGUGAGUUUGAGAGCUUGUAAUCUUUUUCUUAUUUUAAAAUAAAAACAGU
Long non-coding RNA from Populus euphratica (Euphrates poplar), 269 nucleotides. RefSeq lists it as uncharacterized. NCBI's taxonomy places the organism in Eukaryota, Viridiplantae, Streptophyta, Magnoliopsida, Malpighiales, Salicaceae. The record is from RefSeq and is a predicted model, not a curated record. The transcript has 2 exons.